This is a non-coding RNA of Apodemus sylvaticus (European woodmouse), 73 nucleotides long. NCBI's taxonomy places the organism in Eukaryota, Metazoa, Chordata, Mammalia, Rodentia, Muridae. The record is from the annotation of a RefSeq genome assembly.
GCCUGGCUAUCUCAGUCAGUAGAGCAUGAGACUUUUAAUCUCAGGGUCGUGGGUUCGAGUCCCUCAUUAGGCA